RNAcentral lists this ribosomal RNA (1748 nucleotides) under Cryptosporidium sp. irani. RNAcentral's name for it is "Eukaryotic small subunit ribosomal RNA". It matches the Rfam family "Eukaryotic small subunit ribosomal RNA". The record is from Rfam by way of RNAcentral. Lineage: Eukaryota; Apicomplexa; Conoidasida; Eucoccidiorida; Cryptosporidiidae.
AACCUGGUUGAUCCUGCCAGUAGUCAUAUGCUUGUCUCAAAGAUUAAGCCAUGCAUGUCUAAGUAUAAGCUUUUAUACGGCGAAACUGCGAAUGGCUCAUUAAAACAGUUAUAGUUUACUUGAUUUUCAAACCCCCAUGGAUAACCGUGGUAAUUCUAGAGCUAAUACAUGCGAAAAAACAAAUCUUGCGGGCUCUGUUGUAUUUAUUAGAUAACUAACCAAUGAGCUUGGUGAUUCAUAAACUAUCUUCUCUCAUCCGACAUAUCAUUCACCUAAAUGACCUAUCAGCUCUUUGCAGGAAACCUUUUUAGGGGUUUGGCCUUCCGUGGCUAUGACGGGUAACGGGGAAUUAGGGUUCGAAAGUUGAGAGGGUUCCAAAGAAACGGCUACCACAUCUAAGGAAGGCAGCAGGCGCGCAAAUCCCGGUAUCCUUUCCAAGGGGAAAUGUGACUUAAAAUAACUUACCAGGGCUUAACACUCUUGUAAUUGGAAUGAGUGAAGUAUAAACCCCUUUACGAGUAUCAAUUGGAGGGCAAGUCUUUACAGAGCAGUUCAGGUAAUGGAGAUCCCUUGGAGGUAUAAAGAAGUUGUGGAUAUUAAAAAGCUCGUAGUUGGAUUUCUGUUGUAUAAUCUAUAAUAUUACUAAGGUAUAUAUUAUAUUAAUAUCCUCCCCUAGGUUAUAGGACUAAAUAAUUCCAAAACUUUACUUUGAGAAAAUUAGAGUGCUUAAAGCAGGCAACUGCCUUGAAUACUCCAGCAUGGAAUAAUAAGUAAGGACUUUUGUCUUUCUUAUUGGUUCUAGGACAAAAGUAAUGGUUAAUAGGGACAGUUGGGGGCAUUUUGGACCAGCAGGCUAUGGUGAUAUCCUUAGCCUAUUUAAAGUUUUUCUACCCCGAAAGCAUUUGCCAAGGAUGUUUUCAUUAAUCAAGAACGAAAGUUAGGGGAUCGAAGACGAUCAGACCUGGUCGUAGGGCAGAGCAUAAUCUAUGCAAUAGAGAGAAAGGAGGUUGUAACUUACUCCUUCAGCACCUUAUGAGAAAUCAAAGUCUUUGGGUUCUGGGGGGAGUAUGGUCGCAAGGCUUUAACUUAAAUUAAUUGACGAAGGGCACGCACCAGGAGUGGAGCCUGCGGCUUAAUUUGAUUCACACCGUUAAAACUCACCCCGCCCAGACUUAGGAAGGAAUGACAGAUUGAUAGCUCAACCUUGAUUUUAUGGGUGGAAGUGCAUGGUAUAUCUUAGAAGGUGGAGUGAAUUGUCUGGUUAAUUCCGUUAACGAACGUUUCAUUAACUCACUAAAUAAAUAAUAGAAAAAUAUUUUUCACUAGGAUCUGGCUAGAGGUACUGUGCGUGUGUAACGCGAUUAAGUUUGAUUCAAUAACUUCUCUGUGAUGGACUUAGAUGACCUGGGCUCUACGCGCGUUCCACUGAUUUCGCCAACGAGAGUACGUCAGGCUUCGAAUUAGUGGGUAAUUCAUAUGAUUAUGCAUCGUUAUGGGGAUAUUACAUUGUAAUUAUUGAUCUUUAACGAGGAAUUCCUAGUAAGCGCAAGUCAUCAGCUUGCGCUGAUUACGUCCCUGCCCUUUGUACACACCGCCCGUCGCUCCUACCGAUUGAGUGAUUCGGUGAAUAAUUCGGACCAUGCUACGAGUAGCAAAUACAUAGCAAGGAAAGUUUCGUAAAUUAUAUCACUAGACCGAAGCCCUUGUCGUUUCAAGGUUUUCGUAGGUGAACCUGCAGAACCUAAAUA